This 795-nucleotide ribosomal RNA is filed under the name Escherichia coli. RNAcentral describes it as "partial 23S ribosomal RNA". It matches the Rfam family "Bacterial large subunit ribosomal RNA", at positions 801 to 1596 of the family's 2925-position model. Lineage: Bacteria; Pseudomonadati; Pseudomonadota; Gammaproteobacteria; Enterobacterales; Enterobacteriaceae. The record is from RNAcentral.
CGGAUGACUUGUGGCUGGGGGUGAAAGGCCAAUCAAACCGGGAGAUAGCUGGUUCUCCCCGAAAGCUAUUUAGGUAGCGCCUCGUGAAUUCAUCUCCGGGGGUAGAGCACUGUUUCGGCAAGGGGGUCAUCCCGACUUACCAACCCGAUGCAAACUGCGAAUACCGGAGAAUGUUAUCACGGGAGACACACGGCGGGUGCUAACGUCCGUCGUGAAGAGGGAAACAACCCAGACCGCCAGCUAAGGUCCCAAAGUCAUGGUUAAGUGGGAAACGAUGUGGGAAGGCCCAGACAGCCAGGAUGUUGGCUUAGAAGCAGCCAUCAUUUAAAGAAAGCGUAAUAGCUCACUGGUCGAGUCGGCCUGCGCGGAAGAUGUAACGGGGCUAAACCAUGCACCGAAGCUGCGGCAGCGACGCUGAUGCGUUGUUGGGUAGGGGAGCGUUCUGUAAGCCUGCGAAGGUGUGCUGUGAGGCAUGCUGGAGGUAUCAGAAGUGCGAAUGCUGACAUAAGUAACGAUAAAGCGGGUGAAAAGCCCGCUCGCCGGAAGACCAAGGGUUCCUGUCCAACGUUAAUCGGGGCAGGGUGAGUCGACCCCUAAGGCGAGGCCGAAAGGCGUAGUCGAUGGGAAACAGGUUAAUAUUCCUGUACUUGGUGUUACUGCGAAGGGGGGACGGAGAAGGCUAUGUUGGCCGGGCGACGGUUGUCCCGGUUUAAGCGUGUAGGCUGGUUUUCCAGGCAAAUCCGGAAAAUCAAGGCUGAGGCGUGAUGACGAGGCACUACGGUGCUGAAGCAACAA